CUAUACGGUGAAACUGCGAAUGGCUCAUUAAAUCAGUUAUCGUUUAUUUGAUAGUACCUUACUACAUGGAUAACCGUGGUAAUUCUAGAGCUAAUACAUGCUAAAAACCCCAACUUCGGGAGGGGUGUAUUUAUUAGAUAAAAAACCAAUGCCCUUCGGCUGCUUGGUGAUUCAUGAUAACUUCACGAAUCGCAUGGCCUUGCGCCGGCGAUGGUUCAUUCAAAUUUCUGCCCAAUCAACUUUCGAUGGUAGGAUAGUGGCCUACCAUGGUGUCAACGGGUAACGGGGAAUUAGGGUUCGAUUCCGGAGAGGGAGCCUGAGAAACGGCUACCACAUCCAAGGAAGGCAGCAGGCGCGCAAAUUACCCAAUCCCAAUACGGGGAGGUAGUGACAAUAAAUACUGAUACAGGGCUCUUUUGGGUCUUGUAAUUGGAAUGAGUACAAUCUAAAUCCCUUAACGAGGAACAAUUGGAGGGCAAGUCUGGUGCCAGCAGCCGCGGUAAUUCCAGCUCCAAUAGCGUAUAUUAAAGUUGUUGCAGUUAAAAAGCUCGUAGUUGAACCUUGGGCCUGGCUGGCCGGUCCCCCUCACCGGGUGCACUGGACCGGCCGGGCCUUUCCUCCUGGGGAGCCGCAUGCCCUUCACUGGGCGUGUCGGGGAACCAGGACUUUUACUUUGAAAAAAUUAGAGUGUUCAAAGCAGGCCUACGCUCGAAUACUUCAGCAUGCAAUAAUGGAAUAGGACGUGCGGUCCUAUUUUGUUGGUUUCUAGGACCGCCGUAAUGAUUAAUAGGGAUAGUCGGGGGCAUCCGUAUUGAACUGUCAGAGGUGAAAUUCUUGGAUUUGUUCAAGACGAACUACUGCGAAAGCAUUUGCCAAGGAUGUUUUCAUUAAUCAAGAACGAAAGUUAGGGGAUCGAAGACGAUCAGAUACCGUCGUAGUCUUAACCAUAAACUAUGCCGACUAGGGAUCGGGCGACGUUAUUUUAUUGACUCGCUCGGCACCUUACGAGAAAUCAAAGU
Molecule: ribosomal RNA, 1019 nt
Filed under: Chaenotheca brachypoda
Lineage: Eukaryota; Fungi; Ascomycota; Coniocybomycetes; Coniocybales; Coniocybaceae
Description: SSU rRNA
Rfam family: Eukaryotic small subunit ribosomal RNA
Source: RNAcentral